Molecule: long non-coding RNA, 288 nt
Filed under: Panax ginseng (ginseng)
Lineage: Eukaryota; Viridiplantae; Streptophyta; Magnoliopsida; Apiales; Araliaceae
Description: long non-coding RNA (PGIN_LNC014032)
Source: RNAcentral
UAAAAUCCCAAUAAUAUUGUUAUUAUUUUAUCAUUAUUAUAAUUUUAAUACAAAUCAACUAUAUAUAAAAAUAUUUAUAAAUCAACUUUUGAUAUGCAAACCAAAAACCGCACCAAAACCAAUCAAAAACCAAAACCACACCACAAAACCAAAACCAAUCAACUUUUGCCCCGAAUAAACCAAUCAACUUUUGCCCCGAAGUUGUCAAUUGUUUCGAACGAAACCAAUCAAAACCGCACCACGAUAACUGUUCAGAUUGCCAUCCCUAGAAUAAACACAAUAUUGGAA